GCCUAACACAUGCAAGUCGAGCGGCAGCACGGGAAGCUUGCUUCCUGGUGGCGAGCGGCGGACGGGUGAGUAAUGCAUAGGAAUCUGCCCGAUAGUGGGGGAUAACCUGGGGAAACCCAGGCUAAUACCGCAUACGCCCUACGGGGGAAAGCAGGGGCUCUUCGGACCUUGCGCUAUCGGAUGAGCCUAUGUCGGAUUAGCUGGUUGGUGAGGUAAAGGCUCACCAAGGCGACGAUCCGUAGCUGGUCUGAGAGGAUGAUCAGCCACAUCGGGACUGAGACACGGCCCGAACUCCUACGGGAGGCAGCAGUGGGGAAUAUUGGACAAUGGGCGCAAGCCUGAUCCAGCCAUGCCGCGUGUGUGAAGAAGGCCUUAGGGUUGUAAAGCACUUUCAGUGGGGAAGAAAGCCUUUCGGUUAAUACCCGGGAGGAAGGACAUCACCCACAGAAGAAGCACCGGCUAACUCCGUGCCAGCAGCCGCGGUAAUACGGAGGGUGCGAGCGUUAAUCGGAAUUACUGGGCGUAAAGCGCGCGUAGGUGGCUUGAUAAGCCGGUUGUGAAAGCCCCGGGCUCAACCUGGGAACGGCAUCCGGAACUGUCAGGCUAGAGUGCAGGAGAGGAAGGUAGAAUUCCCGGUGUAGCGGUGAAAUGCGUAGAGAUCGGGAGGAAUACCAGUGGCGAAGGCGGCCUUCUGGACUGACACUGACACUGAGGUGCGAAAGCGUGGGUAGCAAACAGGAUUAGAUACCCUGGUAGUCCACGCCGUAAACGAUGUCGACUAGCCGUUGGGUCCUUCGCGGACUUUGUGGCGCAGUUAACGCGAUAAGUCGACCGCCUGGGGAGUACGGCCGCAAGGUUAAAACUCAAAUGAAUUGACG
Molecule: ribosomal RNA, 878 nt
Filed under: uncultured bacterium
Lineage: Bacteria
Description: bacterial SSU rRNA
Rfam family: Bacterial small subunit ribosomal RNA
Source: RNAcentral